GACCGGAGCACGGGUGCGUAACGCGUAUGCAAUCUACCUUUAUACUAGGGGAUAGCCCAGAGAAAUUUGGAUUAAUACCUUAUGGUUAAUAAAAAAGGCAUCUUUUUAAUUAUAAAGAUUUAUUGGUAUAAGAUGAGCAUGCGUCCCAUUAGUUAGUUGGUAAGGUAACGGCUUACCAAGACGAUGAUGGGUAGGGGUCCUGAGAGGGAGAUCCCCCACACUGGUACUGAGACACGGACCAGACUCCUACGGGAGGCAGCAGUGAGGAAUAUUGGUCAAUGGAGGCAACUCUGAACCAGCCAUGCCGCGUGCAGGAUGAAGCAUCUAUGGUGUGUAAACUGCUUUUGUACGGGAAGAAAAAAAGCUACGUGUAGCUUACUGACGGUACCGUAAGAAUAAGGAUCGGCUAACUCCGUGCCAGCAGCCGCGGUAAUACGGAGGAUCCAAGCGUUAUCCGGAAUCAUUGGGUUUAAAGGGUCCGUAGGCGGCUUAAUAAGUCAGCGGUGAAAGUUUUUGGCUUAACCAAAAAAUUGCCAUUGAUACUGUUAGGCUUGAAUUAUUGUGAAGUAACUAGAAUAUGUAGUGUAGCGGUGAAAUGCUUAGAUAUUACAUGGAAUACCAAUUGCGAAGGCAGGUUACUAACAAUAUAUUGACGCUGAUGGACGAAAGCGUGGGUAGCGAACAGGAUUAGAUACCCUGGUAGUCCACGCCGUAAACGAUGGAUACUAGCUGUUUGGAAGCAAUUCUGAGGGC
This 753-nucleotide ribosomal RNA is filed under the name uncultured bacterium. Its description in RNAcentral is "bacterial SSU rRNA". It matches the Rfam family "Bacterial small subunit ribosomal RNA", at positions 93 to 847 of the family's 1533-position model. The record is from RNAcentral.